GCCUUCAUGGUGUAAUGGUCAGCACGCUCGACGCGUAACCGAGAGGUCCGUAGUUCGAUUCCCGGUGAAGGCG
RNAcentral lists this transfer RNA (73 nucleotides) under Stegodyphus mimosarum. It matches the Rfam family "tRNA". Rfam says of the family: Transfer RNA (tRNA) molecules are approximately 80 nucleotides in length. The record is from Rfam by way of RNAcentral. Lineage: Eukaryota; Metazoa; Arthropoda; Arachnida; Araneae; Eresidae.